UAGCAAUGGGCUUGUGAUGGGAUGGAUUGCCCACAUUAGCCCUACAAGAGCUGAAUUAGGCCAGGUGGGCCUAAUCAGCUCAUUAGGCUGCAAGCAGGGGGCUCCUUGGGCUAGGUGGAGGCAACUGAUUGGGAACAGGCUCACCUGUGCAGGAAAAAGCAGGGCCAGGCUAUAAAAAGGAGGCUACUACUAUGAAAGGCUGUGGGGACUUCCUGCAUGGAGGAAGUUAGCUACUGAUAAACCCAGUAGGAGUGCGAACUAGGUAUGCAGGAAGAAGCCCAGUAGCAAGCAGUAGGAGGGUAGAGGGACUGUGGCUCCUUAUUAUAGAGUUCCUAGGCUGGAACAAAGUGUAGAGGAUAGACCUGGGUUCCCCUAGUGGUCACUGGGGAAGGGAAAGGACAAUAGAGGUGCCAGCCAGAUAACAUUUCUGGAAAGACUGUGAAUUCCCUGGAAGGAGAGGACUUUGGUAACCUAGCCAGAGGGCCAACCUAAAAAGAAGAAGUUGCAGAUCUAGAAGUGAGUGGGGCAGCAGAGUGAGACAAGAUAGGAGAAGAAAAAUACCACAGAGAGAGUGCAAGCUGGCAGGACUAAUCCCCAGAGUGGCGAGAAGGAGGUGCUGCUUGUGGGGAGUAGACCAUGUGAUAUGUGGUAGAGAAUGGGCAAAUGAUCAUCCCUGACAUGAGGGGAGGUCAAGAGACACUAGAAACACUUUAUAAGGCAGUGACCCUGAUACAAGGGGAAUAGGAAAGACUAGGAGUGUUACAGCUGUGGGGGAUGAAGACACCUGAAAAGGGAGUGCCCCUACUGGGAUGGGGGAGAGAUGCUUUACUUGGAUAGCUGAAAGUAAAGAGAGCCUCAAAGAAUCUGUCCUGUGGGGAGAACAGGAAAAGGAGGUGUUUUGCUUGUGGUCAGCAGGGGCACCUAUGGAGGGGAUGCCUGUAUAUGAGCUGUGAGGGGAAGAUUAGCCCAGGGAAAGAGUUUGCUUUAGGUGCUUGGAGGCUGGCUAUAUAAAAAGGUAUUACCCUCUUAAGAGAGGGUCUAGUAGCAAAGGGGAAGGCAAGGAUCCCAAUGACACAGUAAAAAGGGGCUCAAAGAUAAAUGGAUUAGGACAGAGAGGGCCCAGCUGGAAAUAGGCAUGACUCCAGAGCUGAAGCAGGCUACUGUAGGACCCAAACACUGGCAUAAAAGUGUAAAGAUGCGAUGGAGGAACAGGACGGGCUGUGGCUCAUGGUCAGGGACCUAAAACAAGAAAGGGAUGACCUGAGCGUCCAGGUGUGGCAGGUGCAGGGUAGGUAAUUUAGAGAAUACCUGCUCACCCCAGGUUGUGGUCUUGAAGGUGUGUGAUGGGGUGCACUCCCUAUACUAGCCCUGCAAGAGCUUAAUUGGGCCAGGUGGGCCCAAUCAUCUAAAUUGACUGCAAGCAGGGGAAACUUAGGCUAUGAGAAGGCCACUGAUUGGGAACAGGGUCACCUGUGCAGGAACAAGCAGAGCCUGUAUAAAGCUAAGCAGCUAGCUACAGAAAGGGGGAUUUUGUUGCUGGGAAAGGCUGCAGGGAAGGAAGCUGAAGUCACCCCUUAAGUGGGGGGGAGUUGGAGGCUAGCAAACCUGAGGGAAGCUAGAUGUGUAGGAAGAAGACCUGGGAAACAGCAGCAAGAGGUGGGACUGUGGCUGCUUGUUAUAGGGUCCCUGGGCUGGAACCAGUGUAGAGGGCAGGCCUGGGUUACCCUACCAGCCACUGGGAAGUGACGUGGAUAUUGGAGGUGCUAGCCAGCAGGUCUGGAAAGACUGAAUUCCCUGCAAGGAGAGGACUUUGGUCCAGAGGACCAAGCCACAGAGAGGAAGCUGCAAACCUGGAAGUGAGCGUGGCAGCAGAGCAAGACAACGCUGGAGGGAGAGCGGCUGUGUGGUGGUGCCAGCUGCUCCUGACGAACUCGCCACUCUGGAGGGUGAUGAACAUUAUGGAAGGCAUACAGUUGAUGGACAACAUUUUUAGACCAACCAGAGACUGAAGGAGAGGCAGCUAGUGGAGUUUGACUUUUGUGUCUCUGACUUGUCUGAAAAUAUCCGUAGCCGUACAGCAUACAGAUUUUGGCUGACCCAUUCAGAAGAGAGAUUAAUCAGCCAAAAGCAAACACACACUGGAAUCUGCUGUUGUGUACAAGGCACAGUUUGGGAAAGGGGAAGGAGGAAAGCUUAUAUAUAGGAAAGCAACUUCCGGACUCCUACGCACCACAGCUCUCAAUGUCAUAUCUAUUGGAACCAUAGAAGUUGUUGUUGCCCUCGGGUUGGAUUUAAAUCUAAGUCUUGGGAGAAUUAACCAGCUACAAAAGCUGUUUUGGUUUAACAGAGUCUUAUAAUAAUGAAGUGAACAUCGAAAUAAGACUGGGAACCUGGACUGAUCCUUUUACAAUAAAAUUCAAAGGGACUCUUGACAAGUGGAGAUGAGGAAGCAGGACAGAUGUUCAAAAAUCAGAAUUGCCCUGAACUUUUUAGACGAGGAGACAAACCUGCAUCAGCACUACAGAGCAACUGUAAGCCAAGCCAGCAUGCGUGGGACAGAGGAAAAAAUGGUGUUCGUAAGAAAAACGAUGGUUUCUCUGAUUGCCAGCCCCACAAACCAAUUGAAGGCUAAUGGGGUAACUGAAGGUAAAAUCUGACCUGCAUAUUUUUCAGAACUGGUGUAAAUGCAUGAGAAGGACUGAGCUCCUAUUGAUUUUUGAAGCAGAGUGUGAAAAUUGCAGAGCUAACAGUUUGGGGAAAAAUCCUUCUUGAAAAUUUGACAUUAGAUGUUACUGAGAAAUGAUAAACAUGGGAUACGCUCAUCCCAUGCUAUUUGUAUGCAGUCACUUCUCCGAGUAAAAUUCAAGUUCAGAGACGUGAAGGCUUUUAUAAACUAUUUCUGUUAUCUCUCCUACCAGUUCCACAUCUUUCUGGUUUGUACCACACUUGCUCUGAGUACACAGAUUUGUUUAUACAACUUACAAACCGUUAAGCAUGUGUAGAGUACAAGUCAUGCAUGAAAGGACUCUAAAUGUCUCCUGAUGCUUACUACUAAUUUUAGAGACUGUCGUCUGCAUGUUUUCAAGUUGCCUUUUAGAUAAUUGUAUUUAUAAUCUGAAACAAGCGACCUGUUCCUCAUAAUAAUAAGCAAGUUAACCAUGUUGUAGAGAAGUAUAAUUGCAGCGCGUUUUGAAACCUUUGCAGAAUAUGUUCAUAAGGGCAUGGCAAAUGAUAUGUAAAAUAUAAUUAUCUGGUUAUGUAAGGAUAGUCUUUCGACAUGGUCCUCUUAACACAAACAUAUUAAAUAAAGAGAACACUUCCGGUUUGAUA
Molecule: long non-coding RNA, 3330 nt
Organism: Chelonia mydas (Green sea turtle)
Lineage: Eukaryota; Metazoa; Chordata; Testudines; Cheloniidae
Exons: 6
Source: RefSeq, a predicted model, not a curated record